GCAUUAAUGGGGUAGUGGUAACCUGGGUCGUUGCCAUUUACGGGUUACGUAAUCGUGAUUCGACCCGCCGGGGGUUCGAUUCCCUCUUAAUGCA
Non-coding RNA from Mycena leptocephala, 94 nucleotides. The record is from the annotation of a GenBank genome assembly. Lineage: Eukaryota; Fungi; Basidiomycota; Agaricomycetes; Agaricales; Mycenaceae.